CACCACCGCAGCAUCACAACAGACGAAAUACCCAAGGUGAUAAAAAUGAGCGGAAGGCAGCAUGACGUUCGCUGUUGUGUCUCUCGUCUGUCAGUGAUUCCAGAUUGUUGACGAAAUAUCGUCUUCUGCUACCUCUAGUGUCGAUGGCCAUUGAUAAUUGGAGAGCAGCAUAGGAAUGUGACAGCUUUGUCUGGGCUAAAUGCCCUACUACAGAAUAGAAUCCUCUUGGGAAACUUUGUCUGCUCCUAAAUUGCAUGAUACACAUCAUAAGUUAAAGUUACUUCAAAAAAUCAAAACAAAUAUUUAGAUUAGGAUUUUGAGAAAUUUCAGCUGAUGUUUGAGCUAGGUGCUUGUGACAAUAUAGAGAUCAAAUGGUCCAAUCCAAUAACGUAAGCUAUGUCUUCCAAAGCUAAAUAGUUUCUACAGUCAUUUAAUGUUUACAUAAUAUUUCAGGUUAACUUCCAGUGUUAAAUCAUAGUAAAUCUUCAAGAUAUUGAAGACAUCCCCAGAUCCAAUUCUCUGCUGCUAUCAUACCCAUACUUUCUGGAAAGCUGCUGGAGUAAUCCAUCCCCAAUUGAUUCAUUUCGUGCCAGCUUGUGAAAGGCGUGAGGAAUUCAAAUUUAGCUGCUGCUUGCUGUCUGCAAGGAAGCAAUCCAAUUGGCUGUCGCUAGGUGGCUUGAGCGUCUUCGGCCAUUUUGUUCCUUGACGAAUGAGAAGUGGGAUGCUGUCGUGACGUUUCCCAUGAUGAAAAUGUGAUUUAAUACCACUUUGUUAAGCAAUCUAACUCGGAAGCCUGUCCAUUUUGCCGAAAUGUCGUGCCUCGUGCGUCUUGCUGCCUGCACCCAGUCGUAUGUCUCGUGCCAUGCAAAAGCAAAAGUCCGCUGUUGGUUACCUUGUUGCAGCCAGGUGGUGAAAGAUGUGAUGGAGACUAAUUGAACUGUUGUAUGCAGCGUGUGGUUCCAGUGUUAUCCAGAAGUAGCUGUGCUGGCGGUAUCCUGAACUAGCCUGAAGUUGCCAGUGAUAUCUGGGUCGCUGACUUUAAAUAUUUUUUCUGUUUGCAUUUGUGUAUUUCUCUCUGCCAAUGCUAUCCUGUGUUUGAAAUCUUUUCUCAUUCGUGUUUUUUUGCUCUACCAGUGAUUUCCUGUGUUGCAGUCUUGAAAUGGUUCCAUUGUCGUCUUUGGCGUUUUUAUUGUGCAGUAUACGAUUGAGGCAACCUGAUCUAUGUCAGGUUUGA
RNAcentral lists this long non-coding RNA (1234 nucleotides) under Daphnia pulex (common water flea). RNAcentral's name for it is "uncharacterized LOC124191249, transcript variant X2". The record is from RNAcentral. Lineage: Eukaryota; Metazoa; Arthropoda; Branchiopoda; Diplostraca; Daphniidae.